RNAcentral lists this unclassified non-coding RNA (333 nucleotides) under soil metagenome. RNAcentral's name for it is "partial contains 5.8S ribosomal RNA, internal transcribed spacer 2, and large subunit ribosomal RNA". The stretch from base 1 to 120 matches the Rfam family "5.8S ribosomal RNA", at positions 35 to 154 of the family's 154-position model. The record is from RNAcentral.
GAUGAAGAACGCAGCGAAAUGCGAAAAGUAGUGUGAAUUGCAGAAUUCAGUGAAUCAUCGAAUCUUUGAACGCACAUUGCGCCCCUUGGUAUUCCAUGGGGCAUGCCUGUUCGAGCGUCAUUUUGUACCCUCAAGCACUGCUUGGUGUUGGGCGUUUGUCCUGCAGAGGACUCGCCUGAAAGCGAUUGGCGGCCAACGUAGUCGUGGCAGAGCGCAGCGCAAUCUCGCGUCUCUCCCCUCUGCGUCGGCGUCCAUGAAGCCCACAAUCUCAACGUUUGACCUCGGAUCAGGUAGGGAUACCCGCUGAACUUAAGCAUAUCAAUAAGCGGAGGA